This 462-nucleotide ribosomal RNA is filed under the name uncultured bacterium. RNAcentral's name for it is "SSU rRNA". It matches the Rfam family "Bacterial small subunit ribosomal RNA", at positions 26 to 518 of the family's 1533-position model. The record is from RNAcentral.
AGAAUCAACGCUGGCGGCGUGCCUAACACAUGCAAGUCGAACGAGAAAGUGGGAGCAAUCCCACGAGUAAAGUGGCGCACGGGUGAGUAACACGUGACUAACCUACCCUUGAGUGGGGGAUAACCUAGGGAAAACCUGGGCUAAUACCGCAUAAUACCUACGGGUCAAAGGAGCAAUUCGCUUUAGGAGGGGGUCGCGGCAGAUUAGUUAGUUGGCGGGGUAAUGGCCCACCAAGACAGUGAUCUGUAUCCGGCCUGAGAGGGCGCACGGACACACUGGAACUGAAACACGGUCCAGACUCCUACGGGAGGCAGCAGUGGGGAAUUUGCGCAAUGGGGGAAACCCUGACGCAGCAACGCCGCGUGGAGGAUGAAGCCCCUUGGGGCGUAAACUCCUUUCGAUCGGGAAGAUAAUGACGGUACCGGAAGAAGAAGCCCCGGCUAACUUCGCGCCAGCAGCCGC